AUGCCAUGGUGUGGGCAUUUUCUUAACAGCUCUUUAAACCUUUCCCAUGCAUCAGGAACAGCUUCAUCGUCCAUUUGUUUAGAAAAAAAGACAUUUCAUUUCUGGACUU
This is a small nucleolar RNA of Cynara cardunculus var. scolymus (artichoke), 109 nucleotides long. NCBI's taxonomy places the organism in Eukaryota, Viridiplantae, Streptophyta, Magnoliopsida, Asterales, Asteraceae. The record is from RefSeq and is a predicted model, not a curated record.